AUGAUUUGGAGAAGAAAGUCAUUAAGAAAGCUACUACUCUCUUCAAGCUCUCAUGACCUCUGGUGUAGAUAUCUUCGUCAACUUUCUCCUAAUCGGUCUUCACAUUUUGCACUCACCCCUUUGUGCAUGGCCUUGAAAGUGCUCAUCUGGGAUACAGUGUGAGUGCAGACGUGAUUGCAACUGCAAGCAUUUUGUGCCCAUGCCCUGGGCAUCCAAGCCUCUCCAUAUCCCAUAUAUUGGACAGGAAGACAGAGGACAGUCUCUUUGAAGUCACCAAAUACCUCAGCGACUGCAGGUCCUGGGCGGGAUCUCCUGCCACCCCUAAAAACCUGACACGUGAAUCUGGGACCUCUGGACCUUCUACUCUGAUUGAGGUGGAGAGGUUCGGUGGAAAGAGGGCUUAGCCAUCGUGGCCCACUAAUCAAUUCAGCACAAUGCCUAGCACAUAGUAGGUAAUCAAUAAAUGUUUGCUGGAUUAAAUGAGAAGAACCA
RNAcentral lists this long non-coding RNA (492 nucleotides) under Monodelphis domestica (gray short-tailed opossum). RNAcentral's name for it is "lncRNA (ENSMODG00000039055.1)". The record is from RNAcentral. Lineage: Eukaryota; Metazoa; Chordata; Mammalia; Didelphimorphia; Didelphidae.